RNAcentral lists this ribosomal RNA (262 nucleotides) under uncultured bacterium. RNAcentral's name for it is "partial 16S ribosomal RNA". It matches the Rfam family "Bacterial small subunit ribosomal RNA", at positions 793 to 1055 of the family's 1533-position model. The record is from RNAcentral.
GUCCACGCCCUAAACGAUGCGAACUAGGUGUUGGGGAGGAGACUUCCUUAGUACCGUAGCUAACGCGUGAAGUUCGCCGCCUGGGGAGUACGGUCGCAAGAUUAAACUCAAGGAAUUGACGGGACCCGCACAAGCGGGUGGAUGAUGUGGAUUAAUUCGAUGCAACGCGAAAACCUUACCUACCCUUGACAUGUCAGGAACUUGCCAGAGAUGGCUUGGUGCUCGAAAGAGAGCCUGAACACAGGUGCUGCAUGGCUGUCGU